This 303-nucleotide ribosomal RNA is filed under the name uncultured Paenibacillus sp. RNAcentral's name for it is "bacterial SSU rRNA". It matches the Rfam family "Bacterial small subunit ribosomal RNA", at positions 1080 to 1382 of the family's 1533-position model. The record is from RNAcentral. Lineage: Bacteria; Bacillati; Bacillota; Bacilli; Caryophanales; Paenibacillaceae.
UUAAGUCCCGCAACGAGCGCAACCCUCGACCUUAGUUGCCAGCAUUCAGUUGGGCACUCUAAGGUGACUGCCGGCUAAAAGUCGGAGGAAGGUGGGGGAUGACGUCAAAUCAUCAUGCCCCUUAUGACCUGGGCUACACACGUGCUACAAUGGGCGGUACAAAGGGUCGCGAACCCGCGAGGGGGAGCCAAUCCCAAAAAAGCCGCUCUCAGUUCGGAUUGCAGGCUGCAACUCGCCUGCAUGAAGCCGGAAUCGCUAGUAAUCGCGGAUCAGCACGCCGCGGUGAAUACGUUCCCGGGCCUU